Arachis duranensis is the source of this 323-nucleotide long non-coding RNA. RefSeq lists it as uncharacterized. The record is from RefSeq and is a predicted model, not a curated record. Lineage: Eukaryota; Viridiplantae; Streptophyta; Magnoliopsida; Fabales; Fabaceae. The transcript has 3 exons.
GCCGCUCUCACCAUCAUCAUCUCCGUGCUUCUCAUCAUCGUCUUCGCUGUGCUCACAUCAUUGAAUAGUUUGAACGGUUUCUUGGUUAGCCAGAAACAGAAAUGGUGUGAAGAAUGUAAAGAAUGAAAAGAAGACAAGGAGUAGAGAAGAAGUAGAAGAGGAAGAAGAAAGGUGAGCUGAAUUAAAUUUCUUCAAAAGACAAAGAAGAAAUACAACUAUUAUUGAAGUCAACUUGCUCUUCUGAAACAACACCCAACUCUUCUGAAACAGAAAUGGUGUGAAGAAUAUAAAGAAUGAAAAGAAGACAAGGAGUAGAGAAGAAG